CCGCGGCCGAUUAGGUAGUUGCUGGGGUAACGUCCCAACAAGCCGAUAAUCGGUACGGGUUGUGAGAGCAAGAGCCCGGAGAUGGAUUCUGAGACACGAAUCCAGGUCCUACGGGGCGCAGCAGGCGCGAAAACUUUACACUGCGCGAAAGCGCGAUAAGGGGACCUCGAGUGCGUGCGCAAAGCGUACGCUUUUCAGAUGCCUAAAAAGCAUCUGGAAUAAGGGCCGGGCAAGACCGGUGCCAGCCGCCGCGGUAACACCGGCGGCUCAAGUGGUGGCCGCUAUUAUUGGGCUUAAAGGGUCCGUAGCCGGACCAGUUAGUCCCUUGGGAAAUCUUACGGCUUAACCGUAAGGCUGCCAAUGGAUACUGCUGGUCUUGGGACCGGGAGAGGCAAGAGGUACCUCAGGGGUAGGAGUGAAAUCCUGUAAUCCUUGAGGGACCGCCAGUGGCGAAGGCGUCUUGCUAGAACGGGUCCGACGGUGAGGGACGAAAGCUAGGGGCACGAACCGGAUUAGAUACCCGGGUAGUCCUAGCCGUAAACGAUGCGAGCUAGGUGUCACGUGGAUUGCGAAUCCAUGUGGUGCCGAAGGGAAGCCGUGAAGCUCGCCGCCUGGGAAGUACGGCCGCAAGGCUGAAACUUAAAGGAAUUGGCGGGGGAGCAC
RNAcentral lists this ribosomal RNA (663 nucleotides) under uncultured euryarchaeote. RNAcentral describes it as "bacterial SSU rRNA". It matches the Rfam family "Archaeal small subunit ribosomal RNA", at positions 215 to 879 of the family's 1478-position model. The record is from RNAcentral. Lineage: Archaea; Methanobacteriati; Methanobacteriota.